GACGAACGCUGGCGGCGUGCUUAACACAUGCAAGUCGAACGGAAAGGCCCUGCUUUUGUGGGGUGCUCGAGUGGCGAAAGGGUGAGUAACACGUGAGUAACCUGCCCUUGACUUUGGGAUAACUUCAGGAAACUGGGGCUAAUACCGGAUAGGAGCUCCUGCUGCAUGGUGGGGGUUGGAAAGUUUCGGCGGUUGGGGAUGGACUCGCGGCUUAUCAGCUUGUUGGUGGGGUAGUGGCUUACCAAGGCUUUGACGGGUAGCCGGCCUGAGAGGGUGACCGGCCACAUUGGGACUGAGAUACGGCCCAGACUCGUACGGGAGGCAGCAGUGGGGAAUAUUGCACAAUGGGCGGAAGCCUGAUGCAGAAACGCCGCGUGCGGGAUGACGGCCUUCGGGUUGUAAACCGCUUUCGCCUGUGACGAAGCGUGAGUGACGGUAAUGGGUAAAGAAGCACCGGCUAACUACGUG
This 468-nucleotide ribosomal RNA is filed under the name uncultured bacterium. RNAcentral describes it as "partial 16S ribosomal RNA". It matches the Rfam family "Bacterial small subunit ribosomal RNA", at positions 28 to 507 of the family's 1533-position model. The record is from RNAcentral.